This 83-nucleotide non-coding RNA is filed under the name unclassified sequences. The record is from RNAcentral.
UAUCAACUGCCGCCGGGUAGAUUAUAAGCGUUGAAGUUCGUAUCGUUAGGCCAUAGAAGAUACGAGAUCAGCGCUUUUAUUCU